AGACCAGUCCAGAAGUCGGGAAACCGCUGAAAACACUGGUUUUGGUUGGCUGACCGUCAAUCAGUAGGUCAGCGGUUCAACUCCGCUCAUCGGCUCCA
Molecule: transfer RNA, 98 nt
Filed under: Granulicella aggregans
Lineage: Bacteria; Pseudomonadati; Acidobacteriota; Terriglobia; Terriglobales; Acidobacteriaceae
Description: tRNA-Asp
Source: RNAcentral